Molecule: long non-coding RNA, 3058 nt
Organism: Panicum virgatum (switchgrass)
Lineage: Eukaryota; Viridiplantae; Streptophyta; Magnoliopsida; Poales; Poaceae
Exons: 2
Source: RefSeq, a predicted model, not a curated record
UUUAUUAGCUCCUCUAAUUUUUGUUAUUUUCAAAUUAGAGUUUGUUAGAGAUUUUGUUAGGAAAAGAGGUCUAAAUCUUCUUAUGUCCUCUAGGCUUUAAGAUUGAGUGAUUUUUGAAUUCAUCCUCUUGUUCUCGGCGUUUUUCUUUUUCUGCGAUUUUCGGAGCUAUUUUUGGUUGAUUUUUCAUUCCUCACUUUUUGGCGCGAUUGGAACCGCAUUUCUUGAGCGGUUUUGUUGCUAGAAUCGUUGGGAGCAACUUUGGUUCAAUUCCCUCUUGAAUUCCUCACGAUUUCAGUCCGGAUUUUGGGAUUUCGUCAAGAACGUUUUCUUCAAGGUGCUUCCGAUUUUUCGCUCGAUUCGCAGUGGAUACUUGAUCUUUUUCCAAACUACCUCUUGGAUCUAUUAGGCCUAAUAGCUGCGCAUCUGUGGCACAAAUUUUGCUGGAAUCCAUCAUGAGCUGAGAGAGUAAUUUGUGUUAGAAGUUUUGGUUUUUCGCUCUUUCGUUUCUGUUCUCGAGUCUGCAGGAGCAAGCGACCGAGCGCGGAGCGUAACGCGCAGCUCGAGCACUCCAAGCGGUGCUCGGCGCAGCGCACGCGGAGGCUUGCGAGCGGGCGCUGCGGGGCACGCAGCAAGGCAGCGUGCAGCGCUGCGGCGGCCGAGCGGCGUCGGGAGCAGCCGGCGGCGCUGCUCGCCAGGCGGGCGGCCGUGCUCACGUGCACGUGCGCGCGCACCUGCCCAGCAGGCCGGUAGCGGGCUCGGCCCAGGAGCAGGCCACGGCCCACAGGCUAAUAGCGGAGCAGGCCGAGUGCAGAGGGCUCCAGCAGCCCACACGGCAGGAGCCCAGGAGUGGGCACUCCUCCAGCCCAAGCAGGCUCGUGCAGGCCGACAGCAGCAGCAUCAAGCGUCGCAGCAGGCAGCGCACAGCAGCAAGGCAAAGGUAAUUUGCUACAGCUAGUUCUCAUGUUCUGUCCCUUUCACGCUACAGGAUACAAUGUUAGUUUAGUUAUUUAGUUGCUGAAUGCUUUCUUUGGCUGGCCAUUUAAGUAAUUGAUUAGCUUGUUUAUUAAUCACUUUGAGCCAUGUGUUUAAUCUACUUAGUCUGGUAUUCUUGAUAGCUCGCCUGCUGUCUUUUGUUUCCUCAGUUUGCUUGAGUUGUUUAAUUGAGCAAGUUUGAUUAGAGCAAGGGUUUUAGUCAGGUGCUUUGUGAGCAACUUCUUUUUUGUCUGAUCAUUGUUGAACUGUUGCAUUCUUAAUGAAGUAAGCUCUUUUGCGAGUCUGUUUGGAAAAGCUUUUACGGCGCUUUGGUAUUUCGGCGCUUCCGCUUUGUGCUGUGUUUGUCUGAGCGGAUUGCUUUUUACGUGCUUCCGCUUUGCGUCGAGCUUUACCUAACCGUUCCUAGGGUGAACUCGUCACGUGUUGGCUUGUGUCACUUUGGCAGUUAGAAGAGAGAUGUGUCGGGAUUGAAUUCGGGACAUAGGCCUUGCUCAUUCUCUUGAAGAAUUUUUAAAGGCUCCCAUUCACCUCCCCUCUGGUCGCCUGUCCGGUCCUUCACUAUCUGAAAUAUCAGGAGCUGUUGCAUCUGAGUGUUGGUUUUGGGCCUAAUCUUCUAGGGCAUUGUUAGUGCAGUAAUGAAGCUAACUGCUGGUGCUGGUACCAUGGUGUGGAUAUCUAUCAUCUGGGAAGAUUGGCUAGGAGUAUCUUGUGCUGUGCCGCCUUCUGUUCAGGUGGCAUGGUGCUCCUCGGCAAGCUUGGCUAGGCAUUAGAGGUGAACACUAUUGUUUUGUUGAGGCAAAGUUGGGAGCUUGAGCUGGAUCUUUAGCCCUGCUAUUUGCAGAGACUUUGAUUUGUUAAACAAACCGUGUUGCUGUUUGCUAGUGGUUAGGAUUUCUCCAAAUGAUAGCAUAUCCUCUUUUUUAGUAUGUGAUUCCAUCUUGCAUGGCCAUCUGUUACUCGGGUAUGGUAUGUCUCCCAUUAUACUGAAUUUUCAUUUAACAUGCCAUGGCCUCAAGGUAGUGAUAGAAUACCUAUGUAAUAUACUUUCUGUGCACAGCCUUGCCAACAUGAGAUAGUUAACUUCCUUAUUCAUACAAUCCGUAAUUAAAGUAUUUGAAAUGCAUCGUACUCUGUUUUGUACAAAUCUCAUUUCCUGGACACAUUGGCUACUGUGAGCAUAGGAUUGUGAGCUUGAGGUAACCAAGGCCUUCUGCACGCUCCACUCAGCACUCAUCAUCAUGUAGAUUGAACUGAUUAUACCGUGUUGAUUUUUUUUCCUUUUUAACAAGCAUUUUUCGUUGACAGUUUACUAUAGGAUAUUAAGGUACCCCUGAUUGAGUUCAGAUCUUCCUAGAAGGAACAAAAAUGGUUCCUUUAUUUUUGUUACUCCUUGCUCAUUCCAACUUAUGUUCCAUAAUGUUUUAUUGCUUUAUGAAGUCAAUCUAUAAAAAUGACGCCAUUGCAUUCAAGUGUUUUUUUGUUGUUGUUGUUUUGAGGUUUGAGGUGGACACCAUGAUCUCCAUUGACAGUGCCAUCUUUUGGCAGUACCCAUCAGCCAGCUCCAGUGUGGUCUGAAAUCGAAUACUACACACUGUGUGGUCUCCAUUGACGGUGAAAAUUGAAUACUACACACUGUGGGAGGCUCGUUGUCAGAGCCAGAAAUCAACCUCCAAAGACGGUUCGACAUGAAUGAAUAAAAAAUUGAAUUCCCGCACUCCGAUCAUCCCUUUCUUGUGGAUCAACGCACAAUCCGAAGCCGCCGCAUCCGGAUGACUAGCAGAUGGGUCGGCAGUUUCCAUUUGUUUAUUUGAGCGUAGGCCCCACCAAACCGAACAUGACACUGGAGCCGUCGAAUGCUACUCACGCCAGCGAUUUUGCAGUUCAAAAUUCGAAUGCAGCAUUGGAGCUGGGCCACCAUUAGAUGUUUAGGGAAAAUUUCCCUUGACCAUCACUUGAUGGGUUUCUUGCAGAGAACAUCUGUUGUAUAGUAGAUUCUGAGUUUUAUGAGAGGAUGGUAUAGAGAAUGCAUCCACCCUCUCAGUUGCAAUUGUGACAGUUUCAGUUG